Molecule: transfer RNA, 87 nt
Filed under: Neisseriaceae bacterium
Lineage: Bacteria; Pseudomonadati; Pseudomonadota; Betaproteobacteria; Neisseriales; Neisseriaceae
Description: tRNA-Leu
Rfam family: tRNA
About the family: Transfer RNA (tRNA) molecules are approximately 80 nucleotides in length.
Source: RNAcentral
GCGGAUAUGGUGGAAUUGGUAGACACGCCACUUUGAGGGGGUGGUGACCAUUAGGUCGUAUGAGUUCAAGUCUCAUUAUCCGCACCA